ACCUCGAACUCUCCGAAAACCAGACACUUUUUACUCUCGGCUUCUGCCCCGACGAACUACCCCAAUGGCAGAAAGCAACCUACCAGAAAUUUUGAAACCUUUUUACCAGCGAGCUGCUGAGGCUGAGGCUCGAUUGGAAAGACUUGAAGCUGCUAUUGCUAGUGACAGAAAUGCUGGGAAUGAUGAAUUAUUGAAUAAGGUUCGUGAGCUUCAGUCAAAGCUUGAAAAUGUGAAAGCAGAACAAGCUUUAGAAAGAGAAAAGGCUCAGAAAGAGCUAAAGCAGCUAAAUGCAGAAAAUGCCAAGCUCCAAUAUCGUGUAACACAUCUUGUUCGAGCCGUAAAGGAUGCUGAUUGUAUGUUAAAAUCUAAGUGAGGGACUUUUGGGACUUAGCUCCAUUUAUAUCUAUCAGCUUGGAAUGUGCAAGAUGGGAAGAAUGAUAUUCCAUUUUGUGAGCUGAAAGUGUACCAUGAUCAAAAGCAGCAGAUAAACUGCAAUGGUUUAUUUUUUAGCUUUCUUCAAGUUUGUGUACCUGCAAAUGGUCUCUGUUUGGACUACUAAAUGGAGGUAAGUCUCAGAUUGUUUUGGCUUUUGAUUUCAAAAUGAUAAGGUAAACCCCCAAUUCAUCACUCAGUUGAAAACUCCCAAUCCUGACAAUACUCUCAUUCUGUAAAUUUGUCUUUAAGCUGUAACAUGGAAUUCAUCCAGAAUCAGAUUGAUACUUUCUGAAAGCUAAAGGAGAGCAAGUGCUGACUGUAUCAAUCCUUGAGAGAAAACGGUAAUGGCUUUGUAACUUCCCUGAUACUGCUAAAAAUGGCUUUGUAACUUCCCUGAUAUUGCUAAACAACAGAUUAGUUUAGAAGAUCGAUCUGAGAGAAAAAGGUGAUGCCCCUGGUUUUUCUGUAGCUGCUGGUGAUUUGUCAAACACGAAAAGAGUUGCUUCUGCAACUGCUACUUAUCAUAAGCCAACUCAAUAGAUUUGCUGAUAAGGGUUGGGGGAGUUGCUACCACAUAAUCUGCUGAAUUGCCACCUGCCUGCAGUUGAAUUAUAACCACAAAAAGUGUGGAAUUUCACAGAAUCCAAGAAUGCACUAUCGUGAAUAAUAUCCAUAUGCAGUUUUCCAAGCGAGUAAAUCACCAGCAACAUUAUUGCCCAGUCAAAUAUCAAGCUCCAUGGGGAAAAAAGGCUAACAGAGUACCCAAAAUCAUCAAAAUUUUGUCUAGAUGAGUCACACUUGCACAUUCUUAAAGUUUACAAUGGCAUUGUCUGUAAAAUGGCUAAAAAACCGAAGCAAAAAUAAGUUCAUGCAACUUCUAUAGCUACUGGAAGCAUAUUGCACUAUCAGACUUGUUCCUUUUCUAAAGUGACUCCUCAAGAAGCUUGAUCAAGUCACUUUUGUUGA
Molecule: RNA transcript, 1401 nt
Organism: Coffea eugenioides
Lineage: Eukaryota; Viridiplantae; Streptophyta; Magnoliopsida; Gentianales; Rubiaceae
Exons: 6
Source: RefSeq, a predicted model, not a curated record